AGAGUUUGAUCCUGGCUCAGGAUGAACGCUAGCUACAGGCUUAACACAUGCAAGUCGAGGGGCAGCAUGGUCUUAGCUUGCUAAGGCCGAUGGCGACCGGCGCACGGGUGAGUAACACGUAUCCAACCUGCCGUCUACUCUUGGACAGCCUUCUGAAAGGAAGAUUAAUACAAGAUGGCAUCAUGAGUCCGCAUGUUCACAUGAUUAAAGGUAUUCCGGUAGACGAUGGGGAUGCGUUCCAUUAGAUAGUAGGCGGGGUAACGGCCCACCUAGUCUUCGAUGGAUAGGGGUUCUGAGAGGAAGGUCCCCCACAUUGGAACUGAGACACGGUCCAAACUCCUACGGGAGGCAGCAGUGAGGAAUAUUGGUCAAUGGGCGAGAGCCUGAACCAGCCAAGUAGCGUGAAGGAUGACUGCCCUAUGGGUUGUAAACUUCUUUUAUAAAGGAAUAAAGUCGGGUAUGGAUACCCGUUUGCAUGUACUUUAUGAAUAAGGAUCGGCUAACUCCGUGCCAGCAGCCGCGGUAAUACGGAGGAUCCGAGCGUUAUCCGGAUUUAUUGGGUUUAAAGGGAGCGUAGAUGGAUGUUUAAGUCAGUUGUGAAAGUUUGCGGCUCAACCGUAAAAUUGCAGUUGAUACUGGAUAUCUUGAGUGCAGUUGAGGCAGGCGGAAUUCGUGGUGUAGCGGUGAAAUGCUUAGAUAUCACGAAGAACUCCGAUUGCGAAGGCAGCCUGCUAAGCUGCAACUGACAUUGAGGCUCGAAAGUGUGGGUAUCAAACAGGAUUAGAUACCCUGGUAGUCCACACGGUAAACGAUGAAUACUCGCUGUUUGCGAUAUACGGCAAGCGGCCAAGCGAAAGCGUUAAGUAUUCCACCUGGGGAGUACGCCGGCAACGGUGAAACUCAAAGGAAUUGACGGGGGCCCGCACAAGCGGAGGAACAUGUGGUUUAAUUCGAUGAUACGCGAGGAACCUUACCCGGGCUUAAAUUGCAGAUGAAUUACGGUGAAAGCCGUAAGCCGCAAGGCAUCUGUGAAGGUGCUGCAUGGUUGUCGUCAGCUCGUGCCGUGAGGUGUCGGCUUAAGUGCCAUAACGAGCGCAACCCUUGUUGUCAGUUACUAACAGGUUCCGCUGAGGACUCUGACAAGACUGCCAUCGUAAGAUGUGAGGAAGGUGGGGAUGACGUCAAAUCAGCACGGCCCUUACGUCCGGGGCUACACACGUGUUACAAUGGGGGGUACAGAGGGCCGCUACCACGCGAGUGGAUGCCAAUCCCAAAAACCUCUCUCAGUUCGGACUGGAGUCUGCAACCCGACUCCACGAAGCUGGAUUCGCUAGUAAUCGCGCAUCAGCCACGGCGCGGUGAAUACGUUCCCGGGCCUUGUACACACCGCCCGUCAAGCCAUGGGAGCCGGGGGUACCUGAAGUGCGUAACCGCGAGGAGCGCCCUAGGGUAAAACUGGUGACUGGGGCUAAGUCGUAACAAGGUAGCCGUACCGGAAGGUGCGGCUGGAACACCU
RNAcentral lists this ribosomal RNA (1516 nucleotides) under Phocaeicola vulgatus. RNAcentral's name for it is "bacterial SSU rRNA". It matches the Rfam family "Bacterial small subunit ribosomal RNA". The record is from RNAcentral. Lineage: Bacteria; Pseudomonadati; Bacteroidota; Bacteroidia; Bacteroidales; Bacteroidaceae.